AUUGAACGCUGGCGGCAUGCCUUACACAUGCAAGUCGAACGGCAGCACGGGAGCAAUCCUGGUGGCGAGUGGCGAACGGGUGAGUAAUAUAUCGGAACGUGCCCAGUCGUGGGGAUAACGUAGCGAAAGCUACGCUAAUACCGCAUACGAUCUAUGGAUGAAAGCGGGGGAUCGCAAGACCUCGCGCGAUUGGAGCGGCCGAUAUCAGAUUAGGUAGUUGGUGAGGUAAAGGCUCACCAAGCCGACGAUCUGUAGCUGGUCUGAGAGGACGACCAGCCACACUGGAACUGAGACACGGUCCAGACUCCUACGGGAGGCAGCAGUGGGGAAUUUUUGGACAAUGGACGCAAGUCUGAUCCAGCCAUUCCGCGUGCAGGAUGAAGGCCCUCGGGUUGUAAACUGCUUUUGUACGGAACGAAAGGUUUGUCUUAAUACGAUGAGCUCAUGACGGUACCGUAAGAAUAAGCACCGGCUAACUACGUG
This 483-nucleotide ribosomal RNA is filed under the name uncultured bacterium. RNAcentral describes it as "bacterial SSU rRNA". It matches the Rfam family "Bacterial small subunit ribosomal RNA", at positions 30 to 507 of the family's 1533-position model. The record is from RNAcentral.